Bos taurus (domestic cattle) is the source of this 1237-nucleotide long non-coding RNA. Ensembl annotates it as carbohydrate sulfotransferase 14. Its record names the gene CHST14. Lineage: Eukaryota; Metazoa; Chordata; Mammalia; Artiodactyla; Bovidae. The record is from Ensembl.
CUGCUUCUCAGAAGACCCAAACUGAAAAUCUACUAUAUUCAGUCUGGAUCUACUGGAAAGUAGAUUCUCAGGGUGGGCAAUUCUGGACAGUUUUAUAAUAGCUGGAGAGGCCUGCAAACAGAAUUGCUGGGGGAGUGUUGGAAGGAGAUUUGGAGAAAAAGGGCUCAAAAAUUAGAGAAAAUGAACAUGAUGCUUUGCAGCAAACGCAAUGAGCUGGGUAACUUGUGACACAUGUUCACCUAUGGAGGACCAAACACUCGAUGGAGCUGGGUUUUCAGCUCAGCCCCACCACCUCUUUGGCAGAGAGAAGACGCUCCAAGGGGUCCCGCACAAACAGGAACUUGAAGUAGUGCUGGAGGCGGUAGCGAAUCUCGUCAGGCCGCAGGUCGGCCAGGAACACCAGGUCGCUGCGGUGGUCCAUCUUGAGGCGGACGUCCACGUUGUCCAGGACUCCCGCCAGCACCUUCAGAACCCGCUUCCAGUUGGAGCAGGCCACCUUGGGCACAUAGCAGUAGAGGAAGCGGUAGCGGUCACUCACGAGGAUGUGGCGCAGCAGGGUGCGCCGCUGCCCCACCGGCAAGUCCCAGGGGUCCCGGGGCAUGCCCGGUUGUCCGCACACUGCCCGCAAGGUCCGGUUCCGGACGUCCUGCCUCACCUGCAGGUCCGAGUUCCCCGCAUCCAGGGACAGCCUCCCAGGCCUGGGGACUGUCCCGCGCCAGACCGCGUCCUCGCGAUUGGGAGGGUGCAGGGGAAGGGGCUUCAUCUCGGCCAGGAUGCCCCGCUCGAUCAUGAGCAGCAGCCCGCUGGAAGCCACGAUCACCGCGAACAUCAGCAUGGACGGCAGCAGGAGGGGCGGCCCGCCCAGCCCAGGCCGGGCCCUGCCCAGGGGCGCCCGCCUCAGCGCCCGGCCCAGGGGCUCGGCGCCUUCUGGGGCCGCCAGCGGGGUCAGCGGGCGGGGGAACAUUGUGCUCUCGGGGCGGGGGCCUGCGUGGGCCAGGCUGAUCCGAGGGCUGUACGGGAGGCGGGCUCGGGCUGGGGGCGGGCCCGAGGGCUUGGACCCGCGGAGCCCGGAAGGGAUCCGGGAGAGCAGCGCUGGCUGGAGGCCCCCGGCGCGCGCGGGGUGGCCCACUCCCGGGAUGAGGCGCCGAAGCGGGCGGCGGGCAGCGGGCAGCGCGCGAGCGCGGCGAGGGACCUGGGCCGGAUGUCCCGCCCGGCCGCUCUCCUCCCCCGGCCCCGC